Non-coding RNA from Acanthosepion pharaonis, 114 nucleotides. The record is from the annotation of a GenBank genome assembly. NCBI's taxonomy places the organism in Eukaryota, Metazoa, Mollusca, Cephalopoda, Sepiida, Sepiidae.
UUAUGACCAUAUCACAUUGAAACACCAGUUCUCAUAUGAUCACCAAAGUUAAGCAAUGCCGAUCCUGGUCAGUACCUAGAUGGCACACCACUUGCAAAUACUAGGUGAUGUAAG